Molecule: ribosomal RNA, 301 nt
Filed under: uncultured bacterium
Lineage: Bacteria
Description: partial 16S ribosomal RNA
Rfam family: Bacterial small subunit ribosomal RNA
Source: RNAcentral
AGUCGCCGCGGUAACACGGAGGGAGCUAGCGUUGUUCGGAAUUACUGGGCGUAAAGCGCACGUAGGCGGUUAUUCAAGUCAGAGGUGAAAGCCCGGGGCUCAACCCCGGAACUGCCUUUGAAACUAGAUGACUGGAAUCUUGGAGAGGUCAGUGGAAUUCCGAGUGUAGAGGUGAAAUUCGUAGAUAUUCGGAAGAACACCAGUGGCGAAGGCGACUGACUGGACAAGUAUUGACGCUGAGGUGCGAAAGCGUGGGGAGCAAACAGGAUUAGAUACCCCAGUAGUCCCUGUCUCUUAUACC